GGUUAAGCGACUAAGCGUACACGGUGGAUGCCCUGGCAGUCAGAGGCGAUGAAGGGCGUGCUAAUCUGCGAUAAGCGCCGGUAAGGUGAUAUGAACCGUUAUAACCGGCGAUACCCGAAUGGGGAAACCCAGUGUGAUUCGUCACACUAUCAUUAACUGAAUCCA
This 165-nucleotide ribosomal RNA is filed under the name Salmonella enterica. Its description in RNAcentral is "partial 23S ribosomal RNA". It matches the Rfam family "Bacterial large subunit ribosomal RNA", at positions 1 to 166 of the family's 2925-position model. RNAcentral also lists the same sequence under 3 other names. The record is from RNAcentral. Lineage: Bacteria; Pseudomonadati; Pseudomonadota; Gammaproteobacteria; Enterobacterales; Enterobacteriaceae.